RNAcentral lists this ribosomal RNA (369 nucleotides) under uncultured bacterium. RNAcentral describes it as "bacterial SSU rRNA". It matches the Rfam family "Bacterial small subunit ribosomal RNA", at positions 158 to 528 of the family's 1533-position model. The record is from RNAcentral.
UCGGGCUAAUACCGGAUGUGCCCGCAAGGGGAAAGGAAGCUUCGGCCUCCGCAUCAAGAUGGGCCCGCGGCCCAUUAGCUUGUUGGUGAGGUAACGGCUCACCAAGGCUUCGAUGGGUAGCUGGUCUGAGAGGACGAUCAGCCACACUGGGACUGAGACACGGCCCAGACUCCUACGGGAGGCAGCAGUGGGGAAUCUUGCGCAAUGCGCGAAAGCGUGACGCAGCAACGCCGCGUGGGGGAAGAAGGCUUUCGGGUUGUAAACCCCUUUCAGUUGGGACGAAGCUUCUCCGGUGAAUAGCCGGACGGAGUGACGGUACCUUCACAAGAAGCACCGGCUAACUACGUGCCAGCAGCCGCGGUAAUACGU